GACGAACGCUGGCGGCGUGCUUAACACAUGCAAGUCGAACGGAAAGGCCCUGCUUUUGUGGGGUGCUCGAGUGGCGAACGGGUGAGUAACACGUGAGUAACCUGCCCUUGACUUUGGGAUAACUUCAGGAAACUGGGGCUAAUACCGGAUAGGAGCUCCUGCUGCAUGGUGGGGGUUGGAAAGUUUCGGCGGUUGGGGAUGGACUCGCGGCUUAUCAGCUUGUUGGUGGGUAGUGGCUUACCAAGGCUUUGACGGGUAGCCGGCCUGAGAGGGUGACCGGCCACAUUGGGACUGCGAUACGGCCCAGACUCCUACGGGAGGCAGCAGUGGGGAAUAUUGCACAAUGGGCGGAAGCCUGAUGCAGCAACGCCGCGUGCGGGAUGACGGCCUUCGGGUUGUAAACAGCUUUAGCCUGUGACGAAGCGUGAGUGACGGUAAUGGGUAAAGAAGCACCGGCUAACUACGUG
This 467-nucleotide ribosomal RNA is filed under the name uncultured bacterium. RNAcentral's name for it is "partial 16S ribosomal RNA". It matches the Rfam family "Bacterial small subunit ribosomal RNA", at positions 28 to 507 of the family's 1533-position model. The record is from RNAcentral.